Molecule: small RNA, 315 nt
Filed under: Histoplasma capsulatum
Lineage: Eukaryota; Fungi; Ascomycota; Eurotiomycetes; Onygenales; Ajellomycetaceae
Also listed under: 1 other name
Description: hypothetical RNA
Source: RNAcentral
CAGGCCCCCAGUGCCUUCGAUUUGUACUGUACACACACACACACACACACACAUAUAUAUAUAUAUACGUCCUCAGUGAUGCGGAAGGCGAAAAAACAGCUAAACGGAUUCCGUGCAUCAUGGAUGCCGUUCUCAAUCGUUGCGGGCCAGCUGAGUACUGUAUGCAUACAGCAGAGCACCAGUGACGUUUUGUAGCUUAGGUUUUGUCGGAAGAAGCAGAAGAAGAUAUAUAAUAUAUCGCUGGUUAAGCUAUGGUAAAUUUAUAUAUAUAUAUAUACACAGCUAAGCUAGUAAAAAUACUUUGAACACAUACAA